UUCAUUGUAAGUGCUAGGAAGAAUGUUGUGUCAUGAUGUUUGACUACAUUGUAUUUGAACCAUGGUCUCAAAACAGACUAGGAAAGUUAUGAUUUGAAGGAAAGUGUCCUUCAUGUGCGAGAAAUCACAUGGUUCAACAUCAAAUAUAGGUUUCCAUUCUUCCUCCUUUGGCUUUAAUUUUCGUAACUAGCAUUGCUGCACAGCUUGCUGACAACUUAAUUGCCAAUGGAGUUGAAACCACUACGGUGCGAAAGAUUUGCCAAGCAGUUGCCUUUUUGUCUCCUGCCGUUUGCAUGACUCUCUCCUCUGUUGAUCUAGGGCUACCACCUUGGGAAAUUGGGGGGAAUCUAACCGGUGGCUUGGCCCUCUCAAGCUUUGCC
Long non-coding RNA from Hevea brasiliensis (rubber tree), 380 nucleotides. RefSeq lists it as uncharacterized. Lineage: Eukaryota; Viridiplantae; Streptophyta; Magnoliopsida; Malpighiales; Euphorbiaceae. The record is from RefSeq and is a predicted model, not a curated record. The transcript is spliced from 3 exons.